CAGCCGCGUAAUUCCAGCUCCAAUAGCGUAUAUUAAAGUUGUUGCAGUUAAAAAGCUCGUAGUUGAACUUCGGGGUCUACCCAUUGGUCAGGCUUAAUUGUCUGUACUGGUGAGAUGGAUCUCUACCUUCUGAGGAACUUUCAUGCCAUUUAUUUGGUGUGGUUGGAAAUCAGGACUGUUACUUUGAAAAAAUUAGAGUGUUUAAAGCAGACUAUCGUCUGAAUACAUUAGCAUGGAAUAAUGAAAUAGGACGGACUGAUUCUAUUUCGUUGGUUUCUAGGAUCACCGUAAUGAUUAAUAGGGAUAGUUGGGGGCAUUAGUAUUCAAUUGUCAGAGGUGAAAUUCUUGGAUUUAUUGAAGACUAACUACUGCGAAAGCAUUUGCCAAGGAUGUUUUCAUUAAUCAAGAACGAAAGUUAGGGGAUCGAAGACGAUCAGAUACCGUCGUAGUCUUAACCAUAAACUAUGCCGACUAGGGAUCGGACGAAGUUAAUUUUAUAAUGACGCGUUCGGCACCUUACG
Molecule: unclassified non-coding RNA, 521 nt
Filed under: uncultured Glomeromycotina
Lineage: Eukaryota; Fungi; Glomeromycota
Description: SSU rRNA
Rfam family: Eukaryotic small subunit ribosomal RNA
Source: RNAcentral